GGAUGUGAGGGCGAUUUGGCUGUGACAUCUGUCACCCCAUUGAUCGCCAGGGUUGAUUCAGCUGAUCUGGCUGGCUAGGCGGGUGUCCCCUUCCUCCCUCACCGCUCCAUGUGCGUCCCUCCCGAAGCUGCGCUCUUGGUCGAAGAGGACAGCCUUCCCUGAAUAGAGAUGGACCAGUCUUCGGUUGAGGGUAUAUGAGUAGCUGCGCUCCCCUGCUAGAACCUCCAAACAAGCUCUCAAGAAAUAUAAGUAAAGUCCUAGAGGUUCUGGAACUGGGAAGAAUAUGGAUUUUAAAGAAAAUGGGGAGGAUUCCUUGCAGUUUAAAGAGUCAGUAGAUAAUUAUUAUUAUAACCAAGUUAGUUGGGAGCUUGCUUUUCUU
Molecule: non-coding RNA, 379 nt
Organism: Erinaceus europaeus (western European hedgehog)
Lineage: Eukaryota; Metazoa; Chordata; Mammalia; Eulipotyphla; Erinaceidae
Source: Rfam